AUGCGAUAAGUAAUGUGAAUUGCAGAAUUCAGUGAAUCAUCGAAUCUUUGAACGCACAUUGCGCCCCUUGGUAUUCCGGGGGGCAUGCCUGUUCGAGCGUCAUUAUCACCCCUCAAGCUCAGCUUGGUGUUGGGGCCUGCCCGUCACAGGGCAGCCCUUAAAAGCAGUGGCGGUGCCAUCUGGCUCUACGCGUAGUAAUACUUUUCGCGACAGAGUCCCGGUGGUGUCUAGCCAGAACCCCCCAUAUUUUAAUGAAUUGACCUCGGAUCAGGUAGGGAUACCCGCUGAACUUAA
Molecule: unclassified non-coding RNA, 294 nt
Filed under: uncultured Articulospora
Lineage: Eukaryota; Fungi; Ascomycota; Leotiomycetes; Helotiales; Helotiaceae
Description: partial contains 5.8S ribosomal RNA, internal transcribed spacer 2, and large subunit ribosomal RNA
Rfam family: 5.8S ribosomal RNA (bases 1-102)
Source: RNAcentral